GUUUUAAUAAUUUAAGUAAAAAUUUUGAUCUUGUAAAUCAAACUUAAGGAUACCCUUUUAAAACU
Molecule: transfer RNA, 65 nt
Filed under: Pseudoglomeris angustifolia
Lineage: Eukaryota; Metazoa; Arthropoda; Insecta; Blattodea; Blaberidae
Description: tRNA-Thr
Source: RNAcentral